RNAcentral lists this ribosomal RNA (253 nucleotides) under uncultured bacterium. RNAcentral describes it as "partial 16S ribosomal RNA". It matches the Rfam family "Bacterial small subunit ribosomal RNA", at positions 524 to 776 of the family's 1533-position model. The record is from RNAcentral.
CACGUAGGGCGCAAGCGUUGUCCGGAAUUAUUGGGCGUAAAGAGCUCGUAGGCGGUCUGUUGCGUCCGCUGUGAAAACCCGGGGCUCAACUCCGGGCCUGCAGCCGAUACGGGCAGACUAGAGUUCGGCAGGGGAGACUGGAAUUCCUGGUGUAGCGGUGAAAUGCGCAGAUAUCAGGAGGAACACCGGUGGCGAAGGCGGGUCUCUGGGCCGAUACUGACGCUGAGGAGCGAAAGCGUGGGGAGCGAACAGG